Molecule: non-coding RNA, 149 nt
Organism: Aedes aegypti (yellow fever mosquito)
Lineage: Eukaryota; Metazoa; Arthropoda; Insecta; Diptera; Culicidae
Source: Rfam
GUAACAACCAAAUGCCUGCUGACGUUGUCAGCGACAUGCCCAGGUAGUCAGGGUCUUCAAGACUACGUGCGGUUCCCGCCGCAUGGCCUGCCCCGUUCGCUCCGCACCCGCUACGCGAACAUUCAUCCGUUUUUAUGGAUGAAGGGUGC